RNAcentral lists this small RNA (559 nucleotides) under Arabidopsis thaliana (thale cress). RNAcentral describes it as "ATSL086170". The record is from RNAcentral. Lineage: Eukaryota; Viridiplantae; Streptophyta; Magnoliopsida; Brassicales; Brassicaceae.
UUAUAAAUCAGUCGUAACGUAGGCUCGGUUUACUCAUAAUUCCGUUAUUUUUUCAUAACUCAUAUAUUUUUGUCGUAAGUCAGCCGCAACAUAUCGUAACUCAGCCGUAACUGCCGUUGUAUCGUCUUACGGCUGAGUUCAUUAAUCCACGUCAGCGAUUUCUGACGUGACAGUUGUAUUCCUUGUAAUUACGUUUUAUCCUAUAACGUUUAGUAGGGGCACGAUGGGUAUAUCGAAAAAGGCCUAAAAAUGUUAUGUAUGAUUUUGGUGAAUACACCUAAUUCUAACUAUCCAAGUAAAGUUCCCAAAAAUAAUUGGUUCUAUAAAAGUUAAGUAUUUACAUUCUUCUUUAAUUAAUUAUAUGUAAUUUUUAAAAAUGAUUUUACUUAUCAUAUUUUUUUUUUAAUUGAUAAGUAUGAUGAAUUAGUUAGUCUUAUCUAUGCAUAGGCUGUCUAGAAUACUCCCGUAAGAUUAUUUUUUUAUAGUAAGAUAUUCGGUUCCUUGUUUUUAAACAAGCCAUUGAAUUAGUUUGUUCAUUAUUAUUUCAUAUGAUUCAAUC